UGAGGAAUAUUGGGCAAUGGGCGCAAGCCUGACCCAGCCAUGCCGCGUGAAGGAUGAAGGCUCUACGAGUCGUAAACUUCUUUUAUAUGGGGCUAAAAUACGCUACGUGUAGCGAGCUGAAGGUACUAUAUGAAUAAGCAUCGGCUAACUCCGUGCCAGCAGCCGCGGUAAUACGGAGGAUGCAGGCGUUAUCCGGAUUUAUUAGGUUUAAAGGGUGCGUAGGCGGGGUAUCAAGUCAGUGGUGAAAUCCAACAGCUUAACUGUUGAACUGCCAUUGAAACUGGUAUCCUUGAAUGCGGUUGAGGUAGGCGGAAUGUGUAAUGUAGCGGUGAAAUGCUUAGAUAUUACACAGAACACCGAUUGCGAAGGCAGCUUACUAAGCCGUGAUUGACGCUGAGGCACGAAAGCGUGGGGAUCAAACAGG
Molecule: ribosomal RNA, 424 nt
Filed under: uncultured bacterium
Lineage: Bacteria
Description: bacterial SSU rRNA
Rfam family: Bacterial small subunit ribosomal RNA
Source: RNAcentral